UGGCGAACGGUGCGUAACACGUAGGUAACCUGCCUGAAAUGGGGGAUAACCAUGGGAAACUGUGGCUAAUACCGCAUAAUCUUGCCGGGACGGUGUUCUGGUGAGGAAAGCUGAGGCGAUUUGGGAGGGGCCUGCGGUCGAUUAGCUGGUUGGUGGGGUAAAGGCCUACCAAGGCGAUGAUCGAUAGCUGUUCUGAGAGGAAGACCAGCCACACGGGAACUGAGACACGGUUCCGACUCCUACGGGGGGCGGCAGUGAGGAAUAUUGCGCAAUGGGGGCAACCCUGACGCAGCAACGCCGCGUGGAGGACGAAGGUUUUCGGAUUGUAAACUCCUUAUCUGGGGGAAGAGGAAGGACGGUACCCCAGGACGUAGACACGGCUAAUAGGUGCCAGCAGCCGCGGUAAUAC
This 409-nucleotide ribosomal RNA is filed under the name uncultured Chloroflexota bacterium. RNAcentral's name for it is "bacterial SSU rRNA". It matches the Rfam family "Bacterial small subunit ribosomal RNA", at positions 96 to 526 of the family's 1533-position model. The record is from RNAcentral. Lineage: Bacteria; Bacillati; Chloroflexota.